RNAcentral lists this ribosomal RNA (340 nucleotides) under uncultured soil bacterium. RNAcentral's name for it is "bacterial SSU rRNA". It matches the Rfam family "Bacterial small subunit ribosomal RNA", at positions 26 to 365 of the family's 1533-position model. The record is from RNAcentral.
AGAUUGAACGCUGGCGGCAGGCCUAACACAUGCAAGUCGAGCGGCAGCACGGGUACUUGUACCUGGUGGCGAGCGGCGGACGGGUGAGUAAUGCCUAGGAAUCUGCCUGGUAGUGGGGGAUAACGCUCGGAAACGGACGCUAAUACCGCAUACGUCCUACGGGAGAAAGCAGGGGACCUUCGGGCCUUGCGCUAUCAGAUGAGCCUAGGUCGGAUUAGCUAGUUGGUGAGGUAAUGGCUCACCAAAGGCGACGAUCCGUAACUGGUCUGAGAGGAUGAUCAGUCACACUGGAACUGAGACACGGUCCAGACUCCUACGGGAGGCAGCAGUGGGGAAUAUU